UAUGACAGGAACUCUGGAGGUGGUUGUUUUGUAUUCUUCAAUUUUGGAACUGUUGAUCUUGCUGUGAGUAAAGAGGCAUCGACUCACCAAGCACUGCCACCAGCACUGUUACUGGAAACUUGAAGACCCAAGUCUCUGUCCAGACCCUCAGUGCGAACUGACAACACUCCAUCCAAAGUCAACUACGACCUGGUACCUGGAUUUUUGUCCAUGGUGAUUCCUGCCACCUUACUACUGAAGAAGACACCAUUCCAGUGGACCACUGUGACCCAAGAAACAUUCAGCCAUCAUGAUGUGGCCUUUACCUCCACUCCUGUCCUACUCUGCCCAGAUUCAGCACAGCCCUUUAUAAUGCAGUCAAGAGUCUUCAAGCCAAAUAACUAAAGCUAUUUUAUCAUAAAAAAGGCCAAGUUUAUUCCAUAAAUGUACAGCUCAUUUCUGCAGUUUAAAGUCUUCAGAGACACUUAGUAAACUUGGACCGGGGGAUUUUGUUUUGUUUUGUUUUGUUUUGUUUAAAUCGUCAACACUGAAGAAAGGCAUCAUCUCUGAGAACAACAUUGGACCAUACUCCACAGUCUAAAAUGAUUAAAGUUUAAUGAGCUGCCUAGGAUCCUGUCAAGGUCACUGGACUCCUGUUAUUUUCCUACUUCAAAUCUAGCUGUCUACUGAAUGAGAAAGCAGAUAUUCUGACCCAUUGGGAUCAAAACCAAGGCACAUUGAUUUCCUCCUAGUAUCAUCUUUGGGUUACUCAGGAACCAAAACUUUUCAUACCGAUUUAAGAAACUCUACUAAGGACUCCCUUUAUCUAACCAUCUCACAAGUCUUCAAUCAGAUUCCUGAAAAGGCCUCUUGAUACAUCAAGAUAGAACCUAUAUGCAUUUUGUGAACAACUUAUCCUUAUCACUGGUUUUGCAAAGGCUUUGUGCUCAUGAAGCUCCUUGAAGAAAAGCUAUGUGGAAGUCCAGAGUAAAGUGAAGCUGCUCUGGAUGAAGUAGUGAAGCGGGAAUAGGGGUCUGCAGCCUGCCACCACCAUCUUCCUUUACUACCAUGGACUUCCCUAUGUAAAAUUCUUCAGAAAAUAUUACUUGGAACCACUGCCCUAGACAACAUGUUUGACCUGAAUGGCAUUCUGAUCUUUUAUGUAUUUCCAACCCAAUAUAGUUCAUACUCAGUUAAUGCUGAACAUGUUUGGAGAUGGGUAUGCCUUUAGCAAGAGAAUGAUCGUACAGCAUUGUUGAAUGAAAUUUUAUUAAUAGCAUUCCAUCCACGGUGGACUUCGUAAAGUUGGAUAUAGCCAGAGAGCAAUUCAUAUAUAUCCUACACUGAAGAACCCCAUAACUAAUGGUACUGGAAGUACAUAACUUGGAAGUCAUGAAACUUGGAUAUAUGAACUGCCUGAAAGCUGGUAUUGAAGCUGAUGCCUCAUUGAGACCAUCUUAGACCAAGUUGUUCAUUUGCCCUCUCAUUGUGUUACUCCACAUACAGAAGGUAAUGAUUAACUGUGAAGCAGAAUUCAAAUACAGUUUUUCCUGCUCAUCAUUCAUUGCCUCAAAUUUUGGGUCAUGUGAUACAACUAGUAGUGAUUAGACUGCUCCAUGUUUUUUUGUUUGUUAUUUAGUAACAACUUUUCAGGGCUUAAGCUAAACUUCUGUAUCUGCCUAUUCGAAUUAACUACUCAAUUCUACAUGGACCAGAUGAUCCUGAAGACACAUUCUCUAAACAUCCUUUAUCUUAUGUGUGACUUCAAAUACAGCUGGAAAAUUUUCCUCUACCCAGUGAGAUAUUCUUUAAUGAUUAGUCUUCAUGCCUGGUACCAUCAACUGUAUAUCAUGGGCAUAGUUGGACAUAGACAUUUGACUCGUCUCUAGGUCGUGAUAGCUUUCUAGGCACUUCAAAUAGCAUAUUGCCAACCAUUUUGCUGGAAAAGUAGACUAACUUGGAAAAAAAUCUAUAAAUGGCAGCUAAGGAUUUUUUCAGUAUUCUUGAGUUUCUGUCCUUGUAUAUAUUUUCAAUAGAAUUUCAUCUGUCUCAUCCUAUCCCUUUAUACUGGUUCAGAGUGGCUGACUUUAUUCCUUACUAUGAAGUGUUCUUAAAGCAUUAAGAUUAUUUUUUUUUUUGUAGAAAGGAUAAAAUUCCAGAAUAUCCAAAUCAUAUAGUGAACAAGACUUCAAUUUGUGACCUGAGAAAAUCUCAUUCUUCGUAGUCAAGAGCCAACUGCCAUCAGCUACUCUUAAGUACACAAUUGAAACUGCCUCCUUUAUAUCAUGAUUCUUGCCACAAAUCAGACUCUGAUCUAAUUAGACUGCUCAUGGUCAGCAAAUCAAAAUCUGGAUGACAUCUGCUUGUAUAUACAACUAUUUGUAAAGAAGAAAUCACAGAUUUCGCUUUUCUAUUAUCUCUAUAUUGUUAGCUCUUUAUUUGUAGUAAAAAGUCUACACUGCCAGUUAUUCCCUCCUGCCAUACUCAGUUAAAGUGAAGAAUCAAGAAUCAGUGAUUGGAUAAGUAGGAAAAGCUAAAACCUAAGGCAAAAGCCUUCAUCUAGGACCUUUUCUACUAUCUUCAUGCCUCGGAUCUCAUCUAAAUCAACAGUGCCAUCUAACCAGUCUGAGGCCUUGACUUGCCUUUAAGAUGAUUCUUGGAGAUGGGCUGUAUUACAGAAGGUGAAGACUUGAUUACCAAAGAAAGUAGAGCCAACUAUGACAAGCCUGGUUCUACAAUCCUAUUGCUCCCAGAUGUAGCAUAGACUCCUAACUAGAACCUCAAGUCUGCAUUGAGGAUAUAGCCUUCUAAGCUGGCAGUUCUUGCACAGAUGAGCAGGAAAAUGAAAGCUGCUAUACCCAACUGGCCCUUUGAGAUCCAAAAAUUAUGUCUGGAGUAAACCCUGUGGAAUAACUCUGGAGUACCCAGGACAAAUCUAAUUUACAGAGCUUCAUUAUUAAUCUGCCUGUCCUUCAAGAUGAUAGCUUAACUAUUGGUAUGGCUGGCCCUGCUGAAAUUACUGUUUGUCUGUUUACUAGUCUUCAGCUCUUAACCUGCCUUUUUUUUGACAUGCUACUUCAAUCAGACUAACUGGCCUUGAGAAGACUACAGUCAGUUUCAGCCUCUCUUGUGCCCAGUUCCAGCAAGGAAUUUUGAAUAGAAGAAACCUGUACCUCUCCCCACCAGAACUUAAUAUUCACAGCAGGAAGGACCAUGCUGCAUACUCUUCAAUCAGCAACCUCAAGUAGAGAAUAACCCUGCUUAUUUUCGAUGCUUGAAACGGCUAUUUUACCUAAAAGUAGAAUAGCAGGUUGAAAGCAGAGUACAUUGCUGUUUUCCUGUGGUAACUCAGAAAUGAACAUGAUCGACCAGGACUCAGAAAUUACAAGUUCAUCUUAACAAGAGACAGAAAGCAACACCAGUUUACUGCUGAACUUUGCCACUAACUCAAACACCCUCACAGACAUGCUUAUCAAUUAGGAGGCUGGUUUUCCUGCUUCAUAUCACUAAUGUACUGGGACUGAUAGAUGUGACUUGAAAGCAAACCUAUGAUGACUUGUAGAGUAUGAUGCUAAUGGAAAUUAUUGUUUAUUCAAGUGAAUUGUAAAUUUCCUGAGGAUUUUUGGAAUUUGAUUACCAAGGAAGAAAUACCAGCUGCCAAAAGUCGACUUUAUGGGCAAAGAUUAAGCUUUCUGUAUCUGGUCUUAUCCUGGAUGUUAGCUGUUUUGUUUUGUUUUGUUAUUAUUGCUCAGCAUCCAUUCCGUCUCACUAUAACAACUUCGUGUUUUUUGAAACCAUCUCUUCCAACUUCCAGUCUGUGUGGUUUAGACUUUUUGAAUCUUGUACUGGACAUGCUAUUCCAAUUUCAUCAAUCAGCAAAGUCCAUCUUGACUCUAGUGAUUGGUUCAAGAAUGGAUGCAUGAUUCAAGUUUGUUCAAUGAUAAUCAACCCUAGGCGUUUUACUCAGUUGUGGAGAAGUUCUCAUUACUUAGAUGCUUGAGUGUUACAGGAGAAAACUCAAACCAACAGGGCCUACUAUGUUGAAUGACUCAGGCAGAGAAUGAAGCCAGUACAGAGGGAAACAGAGCCAAAAGUUCUGAUGACAUUUAUGCCCCUGGAUCCAACCGUGCCUGAAGCUAGUGAUAUCCCCUGGACUUUUCAGUUAUGUGAACCAAUAAAUACCCUUUUUGUUUAAGUUA
Psammomys obesus (fat sand rat) is the source of this 4178-nucleotide long non-coding RNA. RefSeq lists it as uncharacterized. The record is from RefSeq and is a predicted model, not a curated record. NCBI's taxonomy places the organism in Eukaryota, Metazoa, Chordata, Mammalia, Rodentia, Muridae. The transcript is spliced from 3 exons.